RNAcentral lists this unclassified non-coding RNA (231 nucleotides) under Hevea brasiliensis (rubber tree). The record is from RNAcentral. Lineage: Eukaryota; Viridiplantae; Streptophyta; Magnoliopsida; Malpighiales; Euphorbiaceae.
CAAUCGUGAUGAGCAAUAUGAUAGAGGUGUUUUACUAUAGGGACGCUAAUGCAAUGGAGAGGAAGACGAGGGAAUUUGUGUUCAUAUAUAUUGGGACAGGCCUUUAUGCGGUUGUCGCUUAUCUAGUACAACACUACUUUUUCAGUAUAAUGGGGGAGAAUCUCACCACAAGGGUGAGAAGGAUGAUGCUUUCAGCAAUUCUAAGGAAUGAAGUUGGUUGGUUUGAUGAGG